This is a non-coding RNA of Podarcis lilfordi (Lilford's wall lizard), 74 nucleotides long. NCBI's taxonomy places the organism in Eukaryota, Metazoa, Chordata, Lepidosauria, Squamata, Lacertidae. The record is from the annotation of a GenBank genome assembly.
AUCUGGAUAGCUCAGUUAGUUAGAGUGUGCUGCUGAUAACAUCAAGGUUGCAGGUUCAAUCCCUGUAUAGGACA